AUGCACGAGGAAGACCAGGGAGGCGGCAGUAACCGGGGGAGGUGCGCGGCGUGCAAGUACCUGCGCCGGCAGUGCGCCCCCGACUGCGUGCUCACCCCCUACUUCCUGGCGUCGCAACCCCACCGCUAUGCCGCCGUCCUCCGAGUCUUUGGCGCCAGCAAAGUCGCGAGGUUUCUCGAGAGCUUGCCGGUGGAUGAGAGAGCUCAGGCGGCGGAGACGAUGGCAAUGGAGGCGCAGUGGCGGGUGGAGGACCCGGUGUACGGAUGCGCCGGGAUCAUCAGCCAGCUGCAGGAGGAGAUUCAGCCAACGCAGUGCGAGCUCGCCAGGACGCGAGCGCAGCUCGCCAUCGUCCCCGUGCACGGUGCGCAGCUGCAGGGUUCCACGGCUGCUCUUCCGCCGCCGCAGCCGCAGCGAGACGAGGGCCACCGCGUCCCCGUCGCGCAGAUGCAAGGCCAAGGGCAAGGAAAGGCGGUGUCGUUGCUUGACCCGGACGACGGCCACCGCGUCGCUGUCGCGCAGAUGCAGGGGCAGGGAGAGGCGGUGUCGUUGCUUGACCGGCCCGGACGACGGCCAUCGCGUCCCCGUCGCGCAAAGGCAGGGGCAGGGAGAGGCGGUGACGUUGCUGGACCCGGAUGA
Molecule: ribosomal RNA, 636 nt
Filed under: Triticum aestivum (bread wheat)
Lineage: Eukaryota; Viridiplantae; Streptophyta; Magnoliopsida; Poales; Poaceae
Description: partial small subunit ribosomal RNA
Source: RNAcentral